CGGGGGCUGGGGUGGAGGCGGCGUGGUCGGCGCUGGGCCCGAUGUCUUCCACGAGCGGGAGCGGGGGCGGUGACCGGGGUGCACACGGAGGGGGAGGGGGAGACGGAGGCGCUUCCCAUCAUCGCGAUCCCGCUCACGCGGCGAUAAGCGACGCGCCGUAGGCUUCUACUUGUCUCUACCAAAAAUUUUUGUGUGCUGGUAAUCAAUUGUUGUUCAUGGAUUGAGGGGCGGACGGAUGUCUUCUAUUCCAUGAGCCGCAGCGGAGUCGGAGUUGGGGGCGGAGCAGCAGACGUGCCCGGCCGCCAUCCUCAUCAGGCGGCAAUUGCAGUGUUUGCUUCUACUUUUUCUCUCUACUAAUUGCUUGAUUAUUGGUCGUCGUUUGUUUGGCAUGAGGUUGCAUUCCGGGUUUGUUGAAAUCACAAGUCACCAACGAAUUGAUCGGCUCUCUUGGAUAUGUCCUCUUGUUGGAGAAAUUUGGAUUAUUAUCGGAAGUCUGCUAGCUGAGUGUGCUAAUUAAUCGGAAGUCUGCUACCUGAAUGUGCUAGCUAGGUUAUGGGACUGAAGAGAUAGGGGGUAUGGAUUUCGUUCAAGAAUAAGCACAGAUUACUAGAGUUCUUUGGAACUAUGGUUUUUAUGGAACUGGAAGAAUAAGAACAGAUUACUGGAAUUCUUUGGAACUAUGGUUUUUAUGGAACUGGAAGAAUAAGAACAGAUUACUGGAAUUCUUUGGAACUAUGGUUUUUAUGGAACUGGAAGAAUAAGAACAGAUUAUUGGAAUUCUUUGAAACUAUGGUUUUUAUGGAACUGGAAGAAUAAGAAUAGAUUACUGGAAUUCUUUGAAACUAUGGUUUUUAUGGAACUGGAAGAAUAAGCGCAGAUUACCGGAAUUCUUUGAAACUAUAUGCUGCUGGAAUAAUUAUGGAGUUCAGUUAUUUCCUUUUGAGACCAGUGGAGUGUUGGACUUCAUUUUGAAAGUUUUAUUACUGCAAUAGAAAAUGAUGAUACUCCCUGUUGAAAGACGCAUUGAAGCUUAUGAUGGUGAAAACGAUGAUCUCGACAACUUUGAGGCGUUGUUAUCAGUACCUGAGGACUCACCUUUUCUUCAAAGAGUUAUUGAAGCGGAGCCUAUUGCUGCAGCAGCUCAAGUGCCGGUGGAGCAGAAUGAGAAUCAGCUUGGACCAAAUGACUUGCAAGCCUGCCUUCGCCAAGGGGAAUGGAACCGUGUGCUAGACAUCUUGACACAGAUGGUACUAGAUGGAAAAGCUGCUGCUACUGCUGUGGGCAAUGAUCCACACCCUCUAGAUAUCAGGAGAACACACCCUGAGCUAGUAGUCCUGCUUCGAGGCCAAGCUUUAUUUGAUCUGAGGGGAAUGGGUAAUGCCAUUCGUGCUGAUGCAUACUACCGUGACAAAAUAUCCGUGCGAUCUACCCUGAUGAUUCUAGCACCGGGAUCGAGUUCGUUGACAAACUACUAGCCGAAAUAAAGGUGAUGGUUCGGGGUGAGCAGCUGCCAAGAAAAUGUCGCUUCAAUGACAAGGACAAAACACGCCAGUCUGUCAAUGACUACUUGAAGAUAUACUUUCCUACAUUCCGCUAUAUCUGCAGAGAUGUGAAACAAUGUGAGCGGAGUGCUGUACGCCUAAUCUAGUUGCCACUGUACGUGAUGGUAGAAUACUCGAUCGGAUCGGUGAUGUACACUGUGAAGUGUGAAACAAUGUGAGUGGAGUGUUGUUAGUACGCCUAAUCUAGUUGCACUGUGCGCGAUGGUACAUACUCGGAUCUUAUCGGUUUUCGUCUGUUUCACAGGCAGACAUUGUGACUGUACUGUGUAUGAAUAAGAGUACUCUUCAGUUUUCCCUUAAA
Sorghum bicolor (sorghum) is the source of this 1863-nucleotide long non-coding RNA. RefSeq lists it as uncharacterized. The transcript has 6 exons. Lineage: Eukaryota; Viridiplantae; Streptophyta; Magnoliopsida; Poales; Poaceae. The record is from RefSeq and is a predicted model, not a curated record.